GAUGAACGCUGGCGGCGUGCCUAAUACAUGCAAGUCGAGCGAACGGACGAGAAGCUUGCUUUUCUGAUGUUAGCGGCGGACGGGUGAGUAACACGUGGAUAACCUACCUAUAAGACUGGGAUAACUUCGGGAAACCGGAGCUAAUACCGGAUAAUAUUUUGAACCGCAUGGUUCAAAAGUGAAAGACGGUCUUGCUGUCACUUAUAGAUGGAUCCGCGCUGCAUUAGCUAGUUGGUAAGGUAACGGCUUACCAAGGCAACGAUGCAUAGCCGACCUGAGAGGGUGAUCGGCCACACUGGAACGGAGACACGGUCCAGACUCCUACGGGAGGCAGCAGUAGGGAAUCUUCCGCAAUGGGCGAGAGCCUGACGGAGCAACGCCGCGUGAGUGAUGAAGGUCUUCGGAUCGUAAAACUCUGUUAUUAGGGAAGAACAUAUGUGUAAGUAACUGUGCACAUCUUGACGGUACCUAAUCAGAAAGCCACGGCUAACUACGUG
This 497-nucleotide ribosomal RNA is filed under the name uncultured bacterium. RNAcentral's name for it is "partial 16S ribosomal RNA". It matches the Rfam family "Bacterial small subunit ribosomal RNA", at positions 28 to 507 of the family's 1533-position model. The record is from RNAcentral.